GGGGGUAUAGCUCAGGGGCAGAGCAUUUGACUGCAGAUCAAGAGGUCCCCGGUUCAAAUCCGGGUACCCCCU
RNAcentral lists this transfer RNA (72 nucleotides) under Ailuropoda melanoleuca (giant panda). RNAcentral describes it as "tRNA-Cys (GCA) (tRNA-Cys-GCA-11-1)". It matches the Rfam family "tRNA". From Rfam's summary of the family: Transfer RNA (tRNA) molecules are approximately 80 nucleotides in length. Lineage: Eukaryota; Metazoa; Chordata; Mammalia; Carnivora; Ursidae. The record is from Rfam by way of RNAcentral.